Symphalangus syndactylus (siamang) is the source of this 6266-nucleotide long non-coding RNA. RefSeq lists it as uncharacterized. Lineage: Eukaryota; Metazoa; Chordata; Mammalia; Primates; Hylobatidae. The record is from RefSeq and is a predicted model, not a curated record.
CAUAACUACAUAUUUAUAUAUGUUUAUAACAUUUUUUAGUCUUAACUGAAUUGCAAGUAUUUACUUUGAAUUGAGUACAUUAUAUUCUAUUGUAGUACUAUAAAUGUUGUCAAGAUUAUUACUGAAAUACAGUAUCUUAUUAAUUUAAAAGCUCACACAUAUGGAUUUGAGGUUAACUGAUGACAUUACAGAAUAUUUACUGAAUAUAGAAGAGUUCUUUUUUGUUUUGUUUUGUUUUAGUUUUUUGGAAUCAGAGUCUUAUAUCUCACUCUGUCCCCCAGGCCAGAGUAAGUGGCAUUGUGGCGUGAUCCUGGAUCACUCAAGAGAUCCUCACACCUCAGCCUCCUGAGUAGCUGGGGCCACAGACACGCACCACCACAUCUGGUUAAUUUUUCUACAUUUGUAGAGAUGAGAUUUCACCAUGUUACUCAGGCUGAUCUCGAAAUCCUGGCCUCGAGUGAUCCACCCUGCCUUGACCUCCAAAACUGCUGGGAUUAUAGGCAUGACCUGCUGCGCCCAGCCCAAACGCUUGAGGGGGUACUUCAAUCAAGUAGAACCUAUUGAAGUGUGAAUAGGAUGAGCAGGGAAAGUUGAAGUGUCAUCAGGAGAAAUAAGUUGGCUGUCGACCAAGAAGUGUCACAGGACAACUUUAGCAAAAAUGUCUCCAGUUUCAUAAGAAGAGUUGGGGCAGAAAUGAGCUUUUACCAGCACACUGGAAAUUAAUCUGUUUCUCAGGGAUAACUUACAGAGCCCCCAGAUGCCAGUGAGUUCAAAUGUCAAUGUAUUAUUUUGCAAUGAGAAGGCAACUUACUCUUCUCAUCUGAAUAAUAUAUUUUCUCCACAGAGGAUGGAUUUCCUUUAGAUGUCGACACAUUUUUCAAUAAUUGAUUGAUAGUCAUAAAAUCUAAAUAAGGAGAAAAUUUUAAUAAUAAAUCCUGAUAGUCUGAUGAAUGAAUAUUCUCAGUAGAAAUAUUCCUGCCUCCAGAAUGAGGAAAGCCGUAUAUCUCAUAUAUCUUCACAUCUGGCUACAGAAAACUGACAGUGAUAUUAUUUGCUUCUCCAACCUCUUUUUUUUCCUCUCUUUCUUUGUAUUACUGACUAGUUAUUUUAACUGAUCUAUUUCACAAGAGUAUCUGGGAGUAUUAAUAAAACUAUCUUUAUAAACUUUAUAAAAUUAACUAUUAACCGGGAAAGAAGGAAGGGGGAGAAACCAAAAUAAACCAAGCUUGUAGCACAUUCAGCAAAUUGAUCAUUAGGUCAGCUUACUCUCUAACUCAGUCCCUCAUAGUUAGUUGUUCAGUGCCUAUUCCCUCAGAAUCAUGCAGACCCUAUCAUAAGAGUAUAGUUCUUCUUAACUGUUCUGUAGAUAACAAUGUGAACUUUAUGAAAUGUUAAGUUUCCCCUUUGAGAGAUUCUUUCACGUCCUGCAUACCAGUGAAACUGCGGAUGUCAGCUGGUCUGAAGGACUCUGUGGAGAACAGCUCGUCUGAAGGACCUCAUUGAUGCCAGCUGGUCUGAAGGACCCCAGUAGGAGCUGACGGACCAAAUAGUGAACUCUCAAAAUCUUGGUGAUUUCAUCCUCCUUACCCUAACCAAUCAAUGACCUCAAUUUUCCAGCCCCUUUCACUCUAUGAUCCUAUUUUAAAAAUCAUGGCCCAGAAAUCCUUGGGGAAAUGAAUUUGAAGGUCUCUUCCCAUCUCCUCCCUAGGUGUCCUGCAAUCAUUAAACUCUUUCUCUGCUGCAGAUCCUUCUGUCUCAGUGUAUUGGUGUGUCACUGCAUAGCAGGCAUAUAUAUGACCUAUUGGUUCUACAGCAUUAAUAUGCAGUUUUAUCCCAAGAACUUGGAGGAACAGAGACCGGGAAAUAUUGGGUAGAAGAGGGUAGUUCUUUGGCAAAGGCCUCACCCUCAUGCCUGAAGACCCGUGGCCCUACAUGAGAACAGGCAUUUCUGUUUUCACACCCAAAAAGUUGCCUUUUGGCCCACCACACACCCUAUCCUUCCCUAUAUAAACCCUGAAUCUCAAGCUCUAGAUGAGACCCACAAGUGAGGAGAAGAGGAGGCAAGCAGACCAGCAGACCAGUGAACCAGUAGACCAGCAAAUCAAUGACAGUGGAAAGAUGCUGCAGAGAAAGAUAAAAUAGGAAGGAUGUCUGGGAACUGAGGGGAGUUCACCCAUGGGCUGUCGGAAAAGAGUCAGCUGCUGGGUGGCCCAACUCCAAGGGAAGACCACCUUCCCAUUCCUUCACUCCUUCUGGCUCCCCAUCCAUCUCACUGAGGACCACCUGUACCACUCAAUAAGACCCUGCACUCAUCCUUUGAGCCUGAACAUGAUCUGAUUCUUUUGGGACUUUGGGAAAGAGCUUGGGAUCAGAAGGAUAUCACACUGGCACACUGCCCUUGCGAUAAGGCAGGAUCCAUUGAGCUGAUUAAAACACAAGCUGUCUGCAGACAGUAAAGUUAAAAGAGCGCACUUUAACACACUCCCUCUUGGGCUUGAGGAGUCACAGACACCCACCCCUAGAAGCUGCCAGAGGACUGAGAGCCCAAAGCACUCACCCUUGCCUCUGCAUCUGCCUGACUGCAUGCGCCCCCUAGGAGUUUGAGCUGUGGGGCAACCAAACAGAUAAUUUCCCAGCUGGGUGCAAUGACUCACUCCUGUAAUCCCAGCAGUUUGGGAGGCCGAGGCAGGCGGAUCACCUGAGGCCAGGAGUUUGAGACCAGCCUGAUCAACACGGAGAAACCUCGUCUCUACUAGAAAAUACAAAAUUAGCCGCGUGUGUUGGUGCAUGCCUGUAAUCCCAGCUACUCGGGAGGCUGAGGUGGGAGAAUUGCUUGAACCUGGGAGGCAGAGGCUGUGGUUAGCUGAGAUUGUGCCAUUGUACUCCAGCCUGGGCGACAGAGUGAGACUCCAUCUCAAAAAAUAAAUAAAUAAAUAAAUAAAAAUAAAAAGAUAAUUUCCCAUUUGUCCUUUACAGUAUCUAUUGAAAUACAUUUUCUUUGAAAACAAAGUGGCUUGCACUGAUUUUUAUUUUACAUUUUUCUAGAUUAUAAUAAAAUUUAUUGUUCGUAUAAGGAUAUGUGAGAAUAAAACAUAUCUAAAUCUAAUUAAAAUUUAGAAAUGUUUGUUUAUUUAAUGACAUAUUGGACUAAUAGAACGGUAGACAAAAAACAAAGUUUAUUUAUUUCAGGAUUACAAGAAUUCAGAAUAGUAUAAGUAUAUGCAUGUUUUCAUCACCCAUUGUAACAAUGAACAAAUCAUCACAAGUUCUGCCCACUACAUUUAUAGUGACAUUUCCUUUUCUCUUGUUAUUUUGAAGCAACUAUUCCACUCUGUCAUUAUAGUGCAAAAGCAGCCUUAGAUAAUUAACAAAGAGUGCGGCUGUAAGCUUUAUGUCUAAAAACAAAUGAUAUGAAGAAUUUGACUUGUGGCCAUCAUUUGUUCACAAUUUGGUAACUACUGGUUGAGCAAAUAUAAAAUUUGGGCCUUUACAUUACUCUCAUUUAACACCCUGAAAAUGUUACUCCAAGGUUGAGCUUUCAUGUUGCACGUGAGGUAUGAGAUAAGUAAUUUUCCUUUUAGGCGAUCUCUUUUUCUAAGACAUAUUUUGUACAUUUUCCUGUAAUCUUUAAAGCUUUUAAAUUGCAUUUUUGGGUGCUUACUAACUUUUCAUCAUUCAUAACUAUUUUUGAACCCUAUAAACUUUUUCAAGGUGCCAUCUCUAUCAAUCUUUAAUCUUAGGAAAUCAACAUCAUUAUUUAUUCAAAUUUAUUUAUUCUUUAGAUUUUUUUCUCCUCCACCUGAAAGUGCAUGAUCAAGAAUGUUGACAGGUCCACAUAUCACAGUCAUUCCUGUGAAUUGUGUUAAGCAUUUUUAAAUGUUUUCUGAUCAUGCUUUUCUUUUAGGAGAAAUUUUGACUGUCUUUCAGUUCACUGUUAAAAACAUGAUUGCAAAACAAACUCUAUCAAGAAGAUAAAUAGAUCCAGAAAGACAUCAUGGUGUACAAAGAAACUACCUGUCCUUUAGCUAUAGCCAUCCAACUUUAUCAACUGAACAGCAAGUUCUUUGUUUUUCAACCAUUAUAUGUUUAAAACCCAGUAUUUCAAAUGGAUCCCUCUUUUAAUUAUUUAAUAUGGCUUACUAUUCUUGUACACUUAUGAUUUUGAGAAUAUUUGCAAAACUUAGUUAACAUUACUUAUCCCUUUUGUCAAAAACUUCUGCUGUAGUUUCCAUAGGUUACCACACUUGCCAUUAUUUUUUACUUCUGUUUUUUGUUGUUAUUUUAUAUAUAUUGUUGUUAUACAUGUAUUUAUUCUGUGAGUACAUUAUUUUUCUGGAUAAUAUUUUUCUCCACACUCAUAAAACUUGCCUGAUAAUAUGAAGGGGCUGAGCAGGAAGGCUCAGGUUAUGGCUCUCCUCAUUAUUACUAUUUUUUCAUGUGUUGAGUUUUAUACCAAAGAAUAAAGAACCCAUUGCCUCAAUGGAGGGUUUUGGUCAUUAUUGUCUGUAGGAUCAUUCUGUAUGUCAUUUCCCAACCUCAAAGAGGUAACAAUUAAUUCUGUUCUUUUGGACAACCUAUACACUACACUAUGCUACUUGAAGAGUUGUCCUCUGUUUUCAUUUCCUCACUUUUGAGGAAGGGAUGAUGUAUUUUCAGAAAUUUCCUAUUUUCCAGAUUGUGUAGUCAUCUAUAAUUCCACACAGCUAAGUUCCCACUGCCCUAAAGUUUCUCUGUCACCCCCUAAACUGCACUGGGCUGACUAAUAUGUUUUAAUUCUUCACAGUUACAAAUAUAUUAUCCAAAUUAGUGCAGUGGUGGCUUUGUUAAAAUAUUUCCCCCUAUUUUUAUCUUGUCUGAAAUAAGGUAGAAGCUGGUGAUAUGUCAAUCUUAAGUAUUGAAAUUUGAAGCUAUAUAUUAAAAAGUAAUUUUUUAUGGUUUUAAUCACAUUAUAUUUAUUUCACUUACUGGAUUAUUAAAAAUAUAAUAUCAGAAAACAUUAUUAAAACUCAAAUUUUACUACAGCACUUGCAAAUUAGAAGGAAGAGAAAAUCACUUUUAUUUAAUCUUUUCCUGUUAAAGUAUUUAAUAUUCAAUUCUUUUUCUUGUAAAUAUCAGAAUCAUUUUUGUGUAUAGAUUGCUAUACUACAUGCUAUAGCAUUUUUUACAUUCAAGACUAUUUCUUUAAAGCAUAUUGUUUUGAAGUAGAAAACCACAUCAGACUAUGAAUAUUUUAGCAUCUUAUGCCAUAGCAUCCUUCCUUUAGAGAUGGUUACAGACAUUCCACCACAACUUCCUCAAAUUUAAUUUAAAAAAUACCAAUUUAGUUUCUGAAAUGACAUUUUAUUGUUGAUAUUAACCUUCAGUACUAGCAAUGUUAAAGUUUCCCACACUGUCGUAUAUUUCUAUAAAUGUUUUGUGAAUUGUCUCUUCAAACAUUGUGUUCAUUUGUGUGGAUAUCUCAAUUUCAUCACACAAAAUUAAAUAUAAUACAAUGAACAUAUUUAACUUAUCCGGUUCUUCCAAAAUAUUUCAAAAUGUAUUUUUAUGUAUUUUUUACAUUUUUAUAUUGACAAAUUUAUCUUUUAGUAGUUACAAAUCUCUGUUCUUUGUUUGCACAUAUUGUAUUUUAUCAUGAAAACGAUAAAUAUUAUUCCCAUUCAUUUUUAUAAAUAUUCUUAUUAAUAUUCCCAUAGUAUCUGUGUUUUGAUUUCCAAAUAAUGUGUUUUUUUCAAAUGAGAAAAAUGUUUUCUUCUACAUUUUGCAGGUCUAAAUUUAGUUAUUAUAUUCACAAAACUACCCUGUAAAAAUCAGUUUAUUUUUAUGUUGAGUUAUGAUUCAUCCAUUUUUUGUGUAACAACUCUUUAGAGAAAAUAGUUUCUAUUUCUGGACCAUUUCCUUAAUAAUCUGUUUUUCUCUUUAGUAACAAAAUACUUAUAAGCACUGCAGCUAUUUCCAAUGAUUUACUAUCUCAUUAUGUUUCCUUUGUAAAUUCUUCUUUGAGAAUUUUAUCUUGUUCAUCUUACAUGCACACUGAAUAAAUGGGAAAAGAGAUACGGACAUCACUCACUAACAAGAGAAUAGUGUUUAUGUUAUUUAUUAUAUUUCCUUCAUAAAAAAAGCACCUGCAAAAUUCUUGUUUACAUUUGUAUAAUCCUCUGCAUUGUUUUUCAAUAAAUAAUUUCUUAUGCAUCUUGAAUCAAAACAAUAAAAUUUCAACAUUACCAACUUGUCAUCAGUUCUGUCUUUCCAUUUCUAUAUUAUACAUG